AUGGCCAGAAGGGUGGGAUCUGAACAUUGCAUAAAUAGAGAGAAGUCCUCUAUUUUCUUCAGCAAGGGAUGCUCGGAGUCAGUGAGACAGGAAAUUAAACAUGCAUUGCAUGUUCGGAAUGAGAAACUUUCAAAGAAAUACCUGGGGUUACCCUCUCACGUGGGAAGAGAAAAAGAGGAAUCUUUUAAAUACUUGAAGGAUACAAUAUGGAAACAAGUGCAAGGAUGGAUGGAGAAGGAACUUUCAGUUGGUGGGAAAGAAGUUUUGCUGAAAUCCAUGGCACAGGCAAUCCCAACUUACUCUAUGGGAUGUUUCAACUUGCCUCAUGGCCUUUGUCAUCACAUCAAUGGUUUCUUCAUAAGUUUUGGUGGGGAUCAAAGAAAAAAGGCGAGAGCAAAACUACUUGGGAUUCAUGGGAGGUCAUGA
Molecule: ribosomal RNA, 426 nt
Filed under: Triticum aestivum (bread wheat)
Lineage: Eukaryota; Viridiplantae; Streptophyta; Magnoliopsida; Poales; Poaceae
Description: partial small subunit ribosomal RNA
Source: RNAcentral